This 189-nucleotide microRNA precursor is filed under the name Oryza nivara. RNAcentral's name for it is "MIR812 microRNA precursor family". It matches the Rfam family "MIR812 microRNA precursor family". The record is from Rfam by way of RNAcentral. Lineage: Eukaryota; Viridiplantae; Streptophyta; Magnoliopsida; Poales; Poaceae.
AAUAAGAGUAAUUUUACACUGUAUAUAUUCAACAUUUAACUAUUAUUUUAUUUAAUAUUUUUUUAUAAUUACUAUUUUUAUUGUUAUUUGAUGAUAAAACAGGAAUAAUAUUUUACGUGUGACUGAUUUUUUAAAUUUUUUAUAAAGUUUUUAAAUAAGACAGACAGUUAAAUGUUGAAUACGAAUAAU